Molecule: long non-coding RNA, 924 nt
Filed under: Fukomys damarensis (Damara mole-rat)
Lineage: Eukaryota; Metazoa; Chordata; Mammalia; Rodentia; Bathyergidae
Description: lncRNA (ENSFDAG00000022308.1)
Source: RNAcentral
GGUGGGUUUGGUCACAGGCGCGCAUGCCCUUCAGUUCAGUCAGCAGAACUUAUGAGCAAAACCGAAUCCUACCUAGGACUCCGGUUAAUACUGCGGUCAAUCCGAGAUCAGUCAGAAUAUUUAGGCUACAUAUCUCUGGUUUACUAGGAGCCCGCAGCACUAGGCCCUAUGUCUUUAUUAUUAUUAUAUCAUUAUUACUGGCUACACCACAGCAUUGGCGGAGUCACGGGAGUAGGGAAACGGCAGCGCUCAAACCGCAGAUCACGGAGCCGCGACCCGGGACCGCCAGGCUGAGGAUGGGACUUCCUCCACCUCUAGUCCGUGCCAGUGCUGUGCGUCCACCCUGCCCUCCCUCCGCCAUGGGGCCCGCGUCCCUCACCGCGAAGCCUAGAAGCCGCCAGGGCCCAAGCUGCAGACCCGAGGGGCCAGCCACAAAGACCGGAAGUGCGCCCGGCGGCCUUCCGCUCGCGAACCCGGCAGCCUCUGCCCGCCACGCCCCUUUCUCGAAAUCAGCCAAUCAGCGCCGUGGGUUCUACUCUUCCUAUCGCUUCCCGGCUGUUUGGCUGCCCGAGUGCAGAGUGCCGCGAGAGGGUGCCCUGAGGAAUGUAGCUGUUAAAAGAAAGGAGGCAACACAGCGUGGUGAAAAACAACCUGAGUUUUGAAGUUUGGCCAAGAUUAGAAUCUUGAGGUACUAAUUACUAGUUACUUUAUUCAGUUUACUAGGUGUGUAUGUAUGUUGGAAAUUAUACUUUCUUAUACACAGUGGCUUCAAACAUAAAAUAGGCAUAUAAUUUUUAUGCUGCUAGGGAGGGUAAAACAAGAAAGAAUACACAACAAGUGAGAAAUAAAGAGAGUACAUACAGGUGCUCAGGUAGUGUCUGGCAUCUGUGGUUUUUAAUUAGGCCUUUAAUUAAAUAAGCAGCC